This 557-nucleotide ribosomal RNA is filed under the name Salmonella enterica subsp. enterica serovar Virchow. RNAcentral's name for it is "partial 23S ribosomal RNA". It matches the Rfam family "Bacterial large subunit ribosomal RNA", at positions 711 to 1265 of the family's 2925-position model. The record is from RNAcentral. Lineage: Bacteria; Pseudomonadati; Pseudomonadota; Gammaproteobacteria; Enterobacterales; Enterobacteriaceae. RNAcentral also lists the same sequence under 1 other name.
AGACCCGAAACCCGGUGAUCUAGCCAUGGGCAGGUUGAAGGUUGGGUAACACUAACUGGAGGACCGAACCGACUAAUGUUGAAAAAUUAGCGGAUGACCUGUGGCUGGGGGUGAAAGGCCAAUCAAACCGGGAGAUAGCUGGUUCUCCCCGAAAGCUAUUUAGGUAGCGCCUCGUGAAUUCAUCUCCGGGGGUAGAGCACUGUUUCGGCUAGGGGGCCAUCCCGGCUUACCAACCCGAUGCAAACUGCGAAUACCGGAGAAUGUUAUCACGGGAGACACACGGCGGGUGCUAACGUCCGUCGUGAAGAGGGAAACAACCCAGACCGCCAGCUAAGGUCCCAAAGUCAUGGUUAAGUGGGAAACGAUGUGGGAAGGCCCAGACAGCCAGGAUGUUGGCUUAGAAGCAGCCAUCAUUUAAAGAAAGCGUAAUAGCUCACUGGUCGAGUCGGCCUGCGCGGAAGAUGUAACGGGGCUAAACCAUGCACCGAAGCUGCGGCAGCGACACUGUGUGUUGUUGGGUAGGGGAGCGUUCUGUAAGCCUGUGAAGGUGGCCUGUG